UCAAUCUCCUCUCUUUAAAACGUAUAGUUGCACUGCUCCCACCGCAAGAGGGCAGUGCCAUUCAGACUGUAUUUGAAACUCCGAAGUUUGUUUUUGUUUCUUGGUAGAGAAUAAAAACAAAUCAGCAAAAUCCAUCCAUCCAGUUUUGAAAUCAGCCGUUCUAUUCAUGGUCACGGGGAGGAUCCAGAGCCAAAGGACAUAAGACAGAGAAUCGGGCACCAACCCAAACGGGAAGAAUAUGCAAAGUUCACACACAGACAUGAACGCUGGUCCCUGAGGUGUGAGGCGACAGUGCCACUGUACCACCAUGCCAUCCAGGGGUGGGCACCAUCUGAGCUGGAGUGCAGGUUCCGUCCCAUGGAAGGGUGACAUCGUGGAUGUGACUUAUGAACUGUAGCACCGUGGAUGCAGCCUUCAAUCUGCCAUCCUACGCAGGCUGGUGUGGAGUAGACUCAUUGAUGGACUUUGGCUUUGACCUUGACUGCAGUUCACACCUUGCUUUUAGCAAGCAGGCCCACUCUCUUUUUCAAUAAUGUUAGUAUCUACCCAAGGCCAGUUGAACUUUGACCCCCAGAGGUUUUUUCUCUCUCCAUAUUCUUCUUUCUUUCUCUUUCUUUCACUCUCUCUCUCUCUCAUUUUCCCUGUUUUGUAUCAUUCUCUCUUGAUGAUGUUGUACUGUAUUACAGCACUCACAUGUAAAGCGCCUUGAGGCGAUACUGUUGUGAAAGGCGCUAUAUAAAAAUACAUUGAAUUGAAUGUUCCA
This is a long non-coding RNA of Brienomyrus brachyistius, 763 nucleotides long. RefSeq lists it as uncharacterized. The record is from RefSeq and is a predicted model, not a curated record. The transcript is spliced from 2 exons. NCBI's taxonomy places the organism in Eukaryota, Metazoa, Chordata, Actinopteri, Osteoglossiformes, Mormyridae.